Vagococcus penaei is the source of this 138-nucleotide non-coding RNA. Lineage: Bacteria; Bacillati; Bacillota; Bacilli; Lactobacillales; Enterococcaceae. The record is from Rfam.
GAUUCCUUUAAGAAUAGUCCAGAGAGGCUAAGAAGGUGAAUGUGUUAAUGAACUUACUGCUGAGUGCAUGAUUGGGUCAUUAAUAAUCUUUAUGAGAACAUUUCCUCCUAUCCUUGACUGGGUAGGAGUUUUUUUAUU